AACGAACGCUGGCGGCAGGCUUAACACAUGCAAGUCGAACGCAUCCUUCGGGGUGAGUGGCAGACGGGUGAGUAACGCGUGGGAACGUGCCCUUCAGUUCGGGAUAACCCAGGGAAACGUGGGCUAAUACCGGAUACGUGCGAGAGCAGAAAGAUUUAUCGCUGAAGAAUCGGCCCGCGUCUGAUUAGCUAGGUCGUGGGGUAAUGGCCCACCAAGGCGACGAUCAGUAGCUGGUCUGAGAGGAUGAUCAGCCACAUUGGGACUGAGACACGGCCCAAACUCCUACGGGAGGCAGCAGUGGGGAAUAUUGGACAAUGGGCGCAAGCCUGAUCCAGCCAUGCCGCGUGAGUGAUGAAGGCCUUAGGGUUGUAAAGCUCUUUCGUCCGGGACGAUAAUGACGGUACCGGAAGAAGAAGCCCCGGCUAACUUCGUGCCAGCAGCCGCCGUAA
This 449-nucleotide ribosomal RNA is filed under the name uncultured bacterium. RNAcentral describes it as "partial 16S ribosomal RNA". It matches the Rfam family "Bacterial small subunit ribosomal RNA", at positions 29 to 523 of the family's 1533-position model. The record is from RNAcentral.